This 223-nucleotide unclassified non-coding RNA is filed under the name Hevea brasiliensis (rubber tree). Lineage: Eukaryota; Viridiplantae; Streptophyta; Magnoliopsida; Malpighiales; Euphorbiaceae. The record is from RNAcentral.
GACAGAGGAAUAAUAACAGGUCAGUAAGCAUGAGUUGUUAUACUUUUGGUCUGAUCUUAUUGUUCCAUUGCUUCCACAAGUUUGCAGAAGACCUCAAUUACAUGGACUUCAUCUCAAAGGCCAUAUUCGCAAAUGGUUCAUUACCUUAAGCCAAAGUGCUAGGGAAUGUUGAACUCUUGAUAUUGAAUCUUGAAGCUAACGAGAGGAGUUUUUUUUUUUUUUU